This 917-nucleotide long non-coding RNA is filed under the name Homo sapiens (human). RNAcentral describes it as "long intergenic non-protein coding RNA 1186". The record is from RNAcentral. Lineage: Eukaryota; Metazoa; Chordata; Mammalia; Primates; Hominidae.
CACUGGGUGAAACUGCAAGUCGAGAGCGUGGGAAACCAGCAAGUUGAGAGAGGAUCCAGAAGUAACCCCUUCUAAAACGGGAAAGAUGCCUUCCGAAAGGAUGUGACUUGCUCCUCCUUGUUUUCCAACAUGAUUGUGAGGCCUCCCCAGCCACGUGGAACUGUUUGAGUACUUGUGAGUUUCUGACAUAAUAGAAUGAAAGAAGAUCAGAGCAGGAAGAUAUUUUAGAGAUUGGAGCCCUGGCCCAGAAAUUGGUUGUUAUGAUUUGAGAAGAGUCAAAGACCCUGCACUUGAUGGAUCAACUGGCAUCACCUAGACCAGUAAACUGGCUCGUCUGGUCUGUGGCCCCACACCCAGGAACUCACUUAGCUGAAGAGGACAGCUUUGACUUCCUAUGAUUUCAUCCACAACCUGACCAAUCAGCACUCCCUACUCCAUAGCCCCCUGCCCACCAAACUACCUUCAAAAAAGCCUAGCCUCUGAAGUUUUGAGGAGGCUGAUUUGAGUAAUAAUAAAACUCAGGUUUCCUGUUUAGCCAGCUCUAGUAUAUUAAACUCUUUCUGUAUUGCAGUUCUCCUGUCUGAAUGUCAGCUCUAGCUGGGCAGUGGGCAAGAAGAACCCAUUGGGCAAUUACAAAGAGGGAAGUAAGACAUGACUGCUGUCACAUUUCAAUGCCUUUCUGGGCCUGAUAAUUUAAAGGGGCUCACAUUUCUCAAAGCCAACUUAUCCCAAUCUUGCCAACCACAAGUUUUGUAGCAGUUACGGAAAACAAAAACUACAACCUGGGACAAGACCAAAGUCACAUACCCCUCUGUUCUCAUUGCUGUAUAACAACUCCAUUCCUACUUUGGUUCAGGGAGUUACCUAAUUUUGAGGUGCUCCCUGAUGAACAUUGACUGAAUAAAGCCUUUGACCUC